This 4450-nucleotide long non-coding RNA is filed under the name Homo sapiens (human). Its description in RNAcentral is "HSALNT0058941". The record is from RNAcentral. Lineage: Eukaryota; Metazoa; Chordata; Mammalia; Primates; Hominidae.
AGCCACUGCCCCUGGCCAUGUAAGUCUUUUUAAACAUACAUGCACCUAAGAACAAACCUUCAAAGUACAUGAGGCAAAACCAGAUAGAUAUGAAAGGAGAAAUAAGUCUCAAGUUUAGUUAGAAACUUCAAUAGUCCUCUCUCAAUAACUGAUAGAAGCAGGCACAAAAUCAGUAAGAAUACAGAUAUAGAUACCGUAAGACACAGUAAAACAUACUCAAACAAUGUGACUUGGCAUUUCUAGAGCAGACCAAUGGCAGCUGAGUACUAUAGUACUAUACAUAUUCUUCUCAAGUGCACAUGGAACAUUCACUGAGAUAGACAAUAUUCUGGGUCAUAAAGCAAAACUUUACAAUUUCAUGCAAUGUACAUUCUUGGAACAUAAGGAACUUAAACUAGAAAUUAAAACUAGAAAUUAAACUAGUAAAAAGUUAUCUGAAAGUCCUCAAAUAUUUAAAAAUUAAAGAAUAAACUUCUUAAUAACCCAUGGGACAAUGAGGACAUCUCAAGGGAAAUUAAAAAUAUUUUGAACUAAGUAAAGAUAAAAAUAUCAAAAUAUGAUAUACAAGUAAAAGAGUACUUAGAGGGAAAUUUACAGCAGUAAAUUCACACACUAGAAAAGGAGAGGCCAGGCAUGGUGGCUCAUGCCUGUAAUCUUACCACUUUGGGAGGCCAAGGUGGGAGGAUCUCUUGAGCCCAGGAAAUUAAGACCAGCCUGGACAACACAGUGAGACCCCAUCUCUACAAAAAAUUUAAAAAAUCAAUUGGACAUGGUGGUGCAUGCCUGUAGUCUCAGCUACUCAGGAGGCUGAGGUGAGAGGAUUGCUUGAGCCCAGGAGUUUGAGGUUAUAGUGAGCUGUGAUCACACCACUGCAUUCCUGCCUGGGCAACAGAACAAGGCCCUGUCUCUAAAGAAAGAAAGAAAAAGAGAAAGAUCUGAAAUCAAUAACUGAAGUUUAUAUCUUAGGAAACUAGAGGAAGAGAGCAAACUCUUAAGGAAGGAGGAGGACAGAAAUAAAAAUUAAAGCAGAAAUCAAUGAAAUUGAAAAGAGGAAAACAACAAAGAAAACCAGUGAAACCAAAAGUUAGUUUUUGAAAAGAAAUAAAAUUGAUAAAACUGAUAUCCAGGUAAACCAGAAGAGAAGAUAUAUAUUGCCAAUAUCAAAAUUUAAAGAGAAGACAUCAAUACUGAUCUCAUAGACAUUAAAAAGGUCAUAAGAGAAUACUAUGACCUCUGUUCCAAGAGACUUGAAAACUUAGAUUAAAUGCUCAAAUUUCCUGAAAUAUACAAACUACCAAGUUUUACUCAAGAAGAAAAAAAGAACUGAAUAGCUCAAUAUCUAUUAAAGAAAUAGAAUAUGUUAUUUUAAAUCACUUUAAAAAAGAAAACUCCAGGUGAGGGAUAAAAGACUACAAAUUAGGUUCAGUAUAUAUUGCUCAGGUGAUGGGUGCACCUAAACCUCACAAAUCCCCACCAAAGAAUUUACUCAUGUAACCAAAUACCACCUGUUCCCCCAAAACCUACAGAAAUAAAAAAUUUAAUAUAAAAUAAUAAAAAAAGAAAACUCCAGGCCCAGUGGUUUCACCAGUGAAUUCUACCAAACAUUUUAGAGAGAAAUAACACCAACUUUACAUACUCUCUUUCAAAAAAUAAAAAAGGGUAUACUUCCCCCAUUUUAUGAGGCUAACCAUUAUCCUAAUACCACAACAAGACAAACAUAAUAUAAAAAAAAGGAAAUGCAGGCUGGUGUGGUGGUGCAUGCUUAGAAUCCCAGCUACUCAGGAGGCUGAGGCAAGAUAAUUUGAACCCAAGUGUUUAAGACUAGCCUGCGCAACAUAGUGAUAAAGCACCUCAAAAAAAAAAAAAAAAAAAAAAAAGGCCAGAUGUGGUGGCUCAUGCCUGUAAUCCCAGCACUUUGGGAGACUGAAGUGGGCGGAUCACAAGGUUAAAAGUUCAAGGCCAACCUGGCCAACAUGGUGAAACCCCGUCUUUACUAAAAAUACAAAAAUUAGCUGGGUGUGGUGGCGCAUGCCUCUAAUCCCAGCUACUCAGGAGGCCAAGGCAGGAGAAUCGCUUGAACUCGGGAGGUGGAGGUUACAGUGAGCUGAGAUCACGCCACUGCACUCCAGCCUGGGCAACACAGUGAGACUCCAAAAAAAAAAAAAAGAAAAACAAACAAACCCCCCCCCCCAAAAACCAAUUUCUUAACAAAAUACCAACACAUGAAAUCUAACAAUAUAUAAAAAUAACACACCAUGACCAAGUGGAGUUCAUCUCAGGAAGGCAAGGAUAAUUUUACAUUGGAAAAUCAAUCAAUGUAGUUUACCGUAUUAGUAGAGGAAUUAAGAAAACUACAUGAUCAUAUCAAAGAUGCAGAAAAAGCUUUCAGUGAAAUUUGUAAUAAACACUCUCAGCAAUCUAGGAAUAAAUGAAAAUUCCCUUCAUCUAAUAAAAGACAUUCAUGAAAACCCACAGCAAACAUCAUACUUAAUGGUGAGAUACUGAAUGCUUUCCCUCUAGAUCUGAAACAAGGCAAGGAUGUCUUCUCUCAUCAUGCCUAUUCCAUCUCAUACUGGAAGUCCUAACUAAUGUGAUAAGGCAAGAUAAAUAAGUAAAAGGCAUGCAGAUUGGAAAGGAAGAAAUAAUAUUGCAUUUAUUAGCAGACAACCUGUUUACCUAGACUAUUCCAAAUAAUUUACAAAAGUACUUCUGGAACCAAAAAGUGAGUUUAGCAAGAUUGCAGGAUACAACACCAACAUACUAAAAUGAAUUAUGUUCCCAUAUUAGCAAUGAAUAAAUGGAAUAUGAAAGUUUAAAAAAAACAUUUAUAAUAGUGCCCCAAAAAUGCAGUAGUUAGGUACAAAUCUAACAAAAUGUGAGAUGUGAGGAAAGCUAUAAAAACAAUGAUGAAAGAAAUCAAAGAUAUAAAUAGAGAAAAGACAUUAGCAAGAUGGUGGAAUAGCAGCUUUCUACCAUCAUAUCCCCGCAGAAGCACUGAUUUUGACAAGUACCCAUGGAUGAGAGUACUUUGUGGAAGUCCAGAAGUCCAGCAGUGAAGUUCCAGCACAUCACUGGACACACUGAAGAAGAUUGUACUCCUUAAUUAAAAAAAAAAAAGUUGGCUGGGCGUGGUGGCUCAUGCCUAUAAUCCCAGCACUUUGGGAGGCCGAGGCAGGCGGAUCACCUGAGUUCAGGAGUUCGAGACUAGCCUGACCCACAUAGAGAAACCUGGUCUCUACUAAAAAUACAAAAAUUAGCCAGGCGUGGUGGUGCAUGACUGUAAUCCCAGCUACUCGGGAGGCUGAGGAAGGAGAAUCACUUGAACCCGGGAGGCGGAAGUUGCAGUGAGCCGAGAUCGCACCAUUGCACACCAGCCUGGGCAACAAGAGUGAAACUCUGCUUCAAAAAAAAAAAAAAAAAAAAAAAGUUAACUAUAAAACAGCCUCAGGCAGGUCCUUCAAGAGGUAUUCAAGAAGAAAGCAUCGCUAUCAUAGGAGAUGACAGCUCCACCGGUGUUAUUGCCCUUGAAGACCUUUCAGUGGAACAAACUGUGGAGGUGGAAGACUGUGAUACUGAUGAUCCUGACCUCCUGAGAUCGCCCAAUGGGCUCAUAAACAAAAUGGCCAUGGUGGCAGAAACAGAGGUUAUGCAUGGGCUCAGCAACAUGGACUUCCACUCACCAGCUGACCUGACUAAAGGCACUGCCGAGUACCCAAUCUGCCAGCAGCAGAGACUAACAAUGAGUCCCUGAUGUGGCACCAUUCCCCAGGGUGAUCAGGAAGCUACCCGGUGGCAGGUUAAUUACAGUGAGCUGCUUCCAUUAAGGAAGGGGUUAUAUUUUGUUCUCACUGGAACAGACACUCUAUCUAGAUAUGGAUUUGCUUUCCCUGCAUGCAGUGAUUCUACUAAAACCACCAUCUGUGGACUUACAGAUUCACCUUAUCUACUGUCAUAGUAUUCCACACACCGUUGCUUCUGACCAAAGAACUCACUUCACAGCAAAGAAGUAUAGCAAUGGGCCCAUGCUCACGGAAUUCACUGGCCUUACUAUGUUCCCUACCAUCCAGAACCAGGUGGAUUGAUCGAACAAUGGAAUAGCCCUUUGAAGACUUAGUUAUAGCACCAGCUAGGUGGCAAUACCUUGCAGGGCUGGGGAAGGUUCUUCAGAAGUCCGUACAUGCUCUUAAUCAGUAUCCAAUACAUGGCAUGGUUUCUCUGAUAGCCAGGAUUCAAGGGCCCAGGAAUCAAGGGAUGGAAAUGAGAAUGGUACACUAUUACCCCUAGUAAUACCACUAGCAAAAUUUUGGCUUCCUGUUCCCAUGACUUUAUGCUUUACUAGCCUAGAGGUCUUAGUUCCAGAGGGAAGAAUGCUUUCACCAAGAGACAUAAUGAUUCCACUUAACUGCAAGUUGACUGCUACCUGGCCACUUUCGGCUCCUUGUGCCACUGA